AGAGUUUGAUCCUGGCUCAGAACGAACGCUGGCGGCAGGCCUAACACAUGCAAGUCGAGCGCUCUCUUCGGAGGGAGCGGCGGACGGGUGAGUAACGCGUGGGAAUAUGCCCUUUGGUACGGAACAACAGUUGGAAACGACUGCUAAUACCGUNUGUGCCCUACGGGGGAAAGAUUUAUCGCCAAAGGAUUAGCCCGCGUUGGAUUAGGUAGUUGGUGAGGUAACGGCUCACCAAGCCUACGAUCCAUAGCUGGUUUGAGAGGAUGAUCAGCCACACUGGGACUGAGACACGGCCCAUACUCCUACGGGAGGCAGCNGUGGGGANUCUUAAACAAUGGGGGCAACCCUGAUCUANCCAUGCCGCGUGAGUGAAGAAGCCUUANGGUCGNAAAGCUCUUUCAGCUGGGAAGAUAAUGACGGUCCAGCAAAAAAAGCCCCGGCUUACUUCCUGCCACAGCCGGGGUAAUACAAGGGCGAAUUCCANCCCUGNGGGGNCGUUU
This 500-nucleotide ribosomal RNA is filed under the name uncultured Alphaproteobacteria bacterium. RNAcentral's name for it is "bacterial SSU rRNA". It matches the Rfam family "Bacterial small subunit ribosomal RNA", at positions 9 to 546 of the family's 1533-position model. Lineage: Bacteria; Pseudomonadati; Pseudomonadota; Alphaproteobacteria. The record is from RNAcentral.